AGGACACGUUGCUCCUCUAAUUUUGUUGUUGUGACUCACGAAGUCACUGAAAGUUAUCGUAAAAAGCAACGUCAGAAAAGGGGGCCGUGAGCGAGCACGCCGCCGACAAGUAGACCUCAGCUGUCAAUCGAAAAGCAAUCGAGAACAGCGUUUGAUUUGACGACUAUUCUGUAUGUUUUCCACACCAAAGCUGCUAUCAGCAGUGGAAGUGUGAUGGCUUCACAUCAGGGGGGGCAAAUUUGUUUCAGAACUAUUCACACAAAUGCAUCCGUGACUUUGUUCACUUGUUUUUCGAAAUAUAAUGGUGAUUUUCAAAAACUAAAUCCUAAAUUUCAAAGAAUAUGUGUUGACAAUAUCCACAGAUAUACUCGUAAUUUUCACACGUGUUUUCGGGUCCUCAAAUCCAUUCACGAUUUUCAAGUCGUUUUUUUUUCGAUGUGGCAUGUUCAUUUCUCAUGAUUUUGACAUCCCAUUUUCGUCCGCUAGGCGGCAGUGUUGCUGUCUCCAAUUCACGGGAACGACGUCUACCUCCGAUUUCGUUUCAAACUUGGAAAUUGAUUCAAGGAAAACGAACUUUUAACAAUUUGUUGAUUUAACACAACUCUGGAAACAAAACACGACGGUAAUUUGAUCCCUCGAGCUUGUUUUGCUUUGACACAAAGAUGUACUUUUUCUCCCGUUGGUCCGCUACUGCGACGCCGUAGAAGAUGAUGAGGUAGCAGCACACUGUGAAGGUUCUCCGUGUCAAGGCUAAACAAGCUCGAGGGAAACAAACUACAGCCGAAUUGUGUUUCCCGACUUCGAUGCAACAAAAUUAAUCAGAUUACUGGGCCAAAGGCGCAGGCGCCGGACUCUGAGGACAUGCGGAAGAGACGCCAACCUGCAUUUGGACACGUAGUAGACAAUCACAAAGCAGAGGAAAAAGUUGCAAGUUGGA
This is a long non-coding RNA of Hippocampus comes (tiger tail seahorse), 937 nucleotides long. RefSeq lists it as uncharacterized. NCBI's taxonomy places the organism in Eukaryota, Metazoa, Chordata, Actinopteri, Syngnathiformes, Syngnathidae. The record is from RefSeq and is a predicted model, not a curated record. The transcript is spliced from 3 exons.